Long non-coding RNA from Beta vulgaris subsp. vulgaris (sugar beet), 791 nucleotides. RefSeq lists it as uncharacterized. The record is from RefSeq and is a predicted model, not a curated record. Lineage: Eukaryota; Viridiplantae; Streptophyta; Magnoliopsida; Caryophyllales; Amaranthaceae. The transcript has 2 exons.
GUUGAGAAGGGAGGGCGAGAGGUGUGGUGUGAAAUCAAUUAAUUAUUCAAUAUUGGUGCAUCUUUUUCAUUUUUGUUCUUUUGACAACAUGGUACGAGCAUAAAAUUACUUUUGAAUGCAAAGGAACUAACAUAUUUUCUAUAUAUAUAAAAAAAGGAAGUAGCAUAUUAAUAUUAUAGCGAACCACAAAAAAAUAUUCUGAUUCGAAGUUUGACAAUUGCCGCUAAGGCAUCAAAACAUUUCAUUAUAUGCAAAUUCUGCUACAUAUGCCUUUCAUCAACUAUAAAUACGCUGUCUUGAUUCAAUCUAGUUUUCAAAGGGCAUUAAGUUUUAACUGAUUAUCAAGAAAGAAGAAGAAUUUAUCUAUCAAAAAAACUCAGAGCAAGAUGGCAUCAUGUCAAGAGAAGACUCAGUGGCCCGAGCUUGUGGGAGAAAAUGGGAAUGAAGCAGCAAAAAUCAUUGAGAAGGAGAAUCCUUGUCUGCAUGCUAUUGUUCUCUUAAUAGGAAGUAUCGUUACGCACGACUACAGGGCUGAUCGAGUUCGAAUUUUCGUUGAUUGCAAUGGCAUCGUCGGCCCCAUUCCUAUAAUUGGUUAAUUUAAUUAGCUACUAUAAUAGUAAUGCAUAACUAUAUGUAUGUGCAUGCUAUAUGUGUAACGCUAUAAUGGCUAUGUUUCAUCUUGGUUUUCAUGCUUUCAGCUACUUAAAUAGUGUAUAAUAAGAUCCAUGUCAUAUAUUGAUUAUGGUUUACGUCGAUCUAAAAGAAUCGAAUAUAUAUAUAUAAUUAAGUUA